RNAcentral lists this small RNA (1131 nucleotides) under Vigna angularis var. angularis. Its description in RNAcentral is "Non-protein coding transcript". The record is from RNAcentral. Lineage: Eukaryota; Viridiplantae; Streptophyta; Magnoliopsida; Fabales; Fabaceae.
UGAAAAGUCACUGUGGAUCUGUGACUCAAAACAAGAAGAAGAAGAGAGAGAAAGAGAGAGAAAACGAUACACACACUUGCGGCAAUGGUGCAAUGGUGACUCCACAGAUUCCUGAGUGAAUUUUAGUGUAUUCGUGAAACUUCGGUCCUUGACGUCCAUAGCAUAAUUUAUGGUGAUGAUAAUCUAUGACCCUAGUUUGUUCUCAGUCAUUUAAUCGACAUGACUGGACUGUUCACUCUUGAAAGAACUUCUGUCUUGAUUGGUUGGAGUUUUUGAAUCUGAUACGUAAAAUGGAUGUGCACUCUUCUUCCGGGUUUAUUCCGAUGCUCCAAAUACUGGUUUGUUCAUGGAAUGGACUUAUCUAAAAGGGUGCAUUUUAGAGAAUAAUGAGCAAUAAUGACAGUGGAUUUGAAAAUCAAUCGAUGUGUUUUUAACAGCAUAACCUAUUUUACAUGGGCAUGUAUUUUAUCAGUCACCAGGGUUGAUUCUGAGAUCAGUGGCCAUUUGUCUUCUAAAUCAUCUCUCCACACAUCAGAUCAGAAGAGACAAAUCUCUUGAUUCACAUGUGUAUCAAAUAACAACCGGGAAGAAGUGUCUACGUUCAUUUUAAACAUUUGUUAGUAUUUUUAUUACUUGGAGUUUUUUGAAGAAGCUCAAGGGAGUGCCUUACACUAAACACGUCAUUUUCUUCACCAUGUGGUCUAAAGGUCUCUGCUUGUUUCUUUCCUGAAAAGGUAUUUGGAAUGUAGGUUUCCAAGUGGUAGGCAGCACACUACACUUCACCUAGUUGUACUGUAUGUAGGUCUUUGCUGCGUGAAUGUCAAUAAAAGGUACUCUUGAAGAGAGUCCAAGUUGCAAGGGAAUCAUUUAGUUGGUUUUUAAGGGAAUCUGGUAUCAAUUUUCCCCUAUAUAUGUUGAAUGAAAUCGAAGUAAACCAGAAUCGGAUAAGGCUAUUUGGGUAUUAUGCGCAGCACAAAUUUUGAUUCUAAGAACUGUGUGUACAUAUUGAGUAAGUAGGGUAAUAAUGUGGGGAAGCGUCAUCAAUCCAAGGAUAUUCUGACGUUUCAUCACUUGUUCGUAUUCCCUGAUUCACAAUUUUCUCAUGCACUACCAUUUAACAAUUAGCAUUCU